Molecule: ribosomal RNA, 388 nt
Filed under: uncultured bacterium
Lineage: Bacteria
Description: bacterial SSU rRNA
Rfam family: Bacterial small subunit ribosomal RNA
Source: RNAcentral
GACGAACGCUGGCGGCGUGCUUAACACAUGCAAGUCGAGCGGUAAGGCCCUUUCGGGGGUACACGGGCGGCGAACGGGUGAGUAACACGUGGGUGACCUGCCCUCAGCUCUGGGAUAAGCCUGGGAAACCGGGUCUAAUACCGGAUAUGACUCCAUGACGCAUGUUGUGGGGUGGAAAGCCUUGUGCGGCUGAGGAUGGGCCCGCGGCCUAUCAGCUUGUUGGUGGGGUGAUGGCCUACCAAGGCGACGACGGGUAGCCGGCCUGAGAGGGCGACCGGCCACACUGGGACUGAGACACGGCCCAGACUCCUACGGGAGGCAGCAGUGGGGAAUCUUGCGCAAUGGGCGAAAGCCUGACGCAGCGACGCCGCGUGAGGGAUGACGGCCU